UUGAACGCUGGCGGCAGGCCUAACACAUGCAAGUCGAGCGGAUGAAGGGAGCUUGCUCCUGGAUUCAGCGGCGGACGGGUGAGUAAUGCCUAGGAAUCUGCCUGGUAGUGGGGGAUAACGUCCGGAAACGGGCGCUAAUACCGCAUACGUCCUGAGGGAGAAAGUGGGGGAUCUUCGGACCUCACGCUAUCAGAUGAGCCUAGGUCGGAUUAGCUAGUUGGUGGGGUAAAGGCCUACCAAGGCGACGAUCCGUAACUGGUCUGAGAGGAUGAUCAGUCACACUGGAACUGAGACACGGUCCAGACUCCUACGGGAGGCAGCAGUGGGGAAUAUUGGACAAUGGGCGAAAGCCUGAUCCAGCCAUGCCGCGUGUGUGAAGAAGGUCUUCGGAUUGUAAAGCACCUUAAGUUGGGAGGAAGGGCAGUAAGUUAAUACCUUGCUGUUUUGACGUUACCAACAGAAUAAGCACCGGCUAACUUCGUG
Molecule: ribosomal RNA, 483 nt
Filed under: uncultured bacterium
Lineage: Bacteria
Description: partial 16S ribosomal RNA
Rfam family: Bacterial small subunit ribosomal RNA
Source: RNAcentral